This 292-nucleotide ribosomal RNA is filed under the name uncultured bacterium. RNAcentral's name for it is "partial 16S ribosomal RNA". The record is from RNAcentral.
GGACUACCAGGGUAUCUAAUCCUGUUUGAUCCCCGCACUUUCGUUUCUCAGCGUCAAUAUUGGACCAGGCAGCCGCCUUCGCCUCCGGUAUUCCUCCUGAUAUCUACGUAUUUCACCACUACACCAGGAAUUCUACUGCCCUCUUCCAUAUUCAAGCUCUGCAGUUUCGAAUGCACUUCCAUGGUUGAGCCAUGGGAUUUCACACCCGACUUAUAGAGCCGCCUACAAACGCUUUACGCCCAGUGAUUCCGAACAACGCUAGGACCCCUCGUCUUACCGCGGCUGCUGGCAC